Molecule: long non-coding RNA, 1182 nt
Filed under: Zalophus californianus (California sea lion)
Lineage: Eukaryota; Metazoa; Chordata; Mammalia; Carnivora; Otariidae
Description: lncRNA (ENSZCAG00015011800.1)
Source: RNAcentral
UGAUUCUGGCUCUGGUAAUGGCAGAGAGCAGUCCUUAGAGAGAGGGCCAUGCUCACCGUCAUGACCAGCCAUCGCCUUCAGGACGUCUCCUGGGCCCCUCUCCCCCUGAGCACCUAGUGUGGGGCCUUGCUUGGAGCACCUCAGCUCAGGGGAGGGAGAGGGUGACCCUCUGCCCGAGAUCUGGAAUCAUUUGAGUGCUCUUGGAGCUGCUUCCAAAUCUAGCCCCCCAGGACUUCUGCUUCAUGGUCACUCAAGUGAGGGAGAGUGGGCUUAAAGCUCUUUUAGUGGUCAGCUUCUGUCUCUGCUGACUUCGUGGGGUGGGGAGGAGACAGUUCAAAAGUCACUGUGUUUGGCUUUGAAAUGUAUUCUUAUUCCUCCUCCCCCCACAUAUUUACGAUGCAAAUGAAUUAAUACAAGUUAAGGGCCUAGAACAGCCUGGAUCAUGGUGAAAACAGCCUGGCAGGCUUUCCAGCUUGAGGUGGGCACGUUCCGGACCCAACCCGCUGUGUCUGCGGGCUGCCCCAGCACAGCCUGCCCCAGGAGCAGCACGCCUGACCCAGGGACGGCUGAGAGGCCAGUGGCGACAAGAAGCAGGAGCCCGGAGGGUUUCUCAGUGUUGUGCUAAAAUGAGCAACCUGCAAAUCAGAUGCAAAAUACCAUGCAAGUAUGGCAUAUAUUAAUUCGGAACCAACAGCUUUGGGCAUUUUAGGCAAUUAGGUGCCAGCCCUGUAUAUGAUCAUGUUUACUUCCCCAAUUUUCCUUUUCCGAUAUUCCAAGCAACACUGGAAGGGCACUUCUGUAAGACCUUGAGAGGGUCCUACCCCCUCUCUCUCGAAUGCCUAGGCACAGGGAUACGUUAGACGUGGCUGCUAUCUGUGUAAAUAUAAGACGCCAUCUCCUCCCCAUGCUCACUGGCAAGCCUCUAUGGAGCACCUCCUUGAUGCAAACCACGAGAGAAGAGCAGGAAGUGUCCUCAAUGAGUUGAGCUUGGUACAAUAAACAACUCCUGGGUGCCUGUUACUAAGUGUAUAUUAAGUGCCACUUACUAGCUGUGCAACCUGGGGCAAGUUCGUUUCCUCCCUUGAAAUGGGGUAACGCCAACGUGCUGCGGUGCAUGAGUAGUUAAACUGCAGGACAUUCCUAUCACAGGAUACUGCUCAGCAACAGAGAGGAGCAAACUAC